GUCUAUGGCCAUACCACCCUGAACGCACCCGAUCUCGUCUGAUCUCCGAAGCUAAGCAGGGUCGGGCCUGGUUAGUACCUGGAUGGGAGAAUAGUAAAGGGUAACAUUAUGAAAGAGAACCAGAUUAGAAA
This is a ribosomal RNA of Fukomys damarensis (Damara mole-rat), 131 nucleotides long. The record is from Ensembl. NCBI's taxonomy places the organism in Eukaryota, Metazoa, Chordata, Mammalia, Rodentia, Bathyergidae.